This is a long non-coding RNA of Telopea speciosissima, 157 nucleotides long. RefSeq lists it as uncharacterized. NCBI's taxonomy places the organism in Eukaryota, Viridiplantae, Streptophyta, Magnoliopsida, Proteales, Proteaceae. The transcript is spliced from 2 exons. The record is from RefSeq and is a predicted model, not a curated record.
GUAUGUAAGGCAGCAGGGUGACUCUUUGUCUUAUCAAAUGGGAUGGAAAGUUCAUUUUCUAGCUUCUGAGCAAUGUGGAAUGACUGAAAUGCCUUAGCAAAUUCGUCGACUGGAAUAAAUCUGUUUUCAAUGUUGAGGAAUAAUUGGUCAAAUUCAG